AGCAGCCUACAUGAACAGAACAUGGAAUGGAUUAAUGAUGAUUAUAUGGAUGUUCAACAGCAGGCGUCAAAUGUUCAGAUUAUCCAGCAACCCAUUUCUCAGCCCACCACCAUCCUCCAGCACCUGCCCUUCUCCAUGGCCCCUCCUCCACCUGCGCUGCGGCCCGGCCAUGUCAGAGAAGAUCUGGUUGAGUUGAUGAUGAUUCAGAAUGCCCAGAUGCAUCAGGUCAUCAUGAACAAUAUGACCAUGUCAGCGCUCAGCAGCUUUGGCUACUCAAACAGUCCAUCACCAGAGACAGUACAAUAUCCACGGCCUGUGGAGGAAGAAGACCCAGAGGUGUACCACCACCACUACCCCCCUUCUCCCUACCACACUUACCCAGCCUGGAUGCCUUUUUCUCAGCCAUACAUCCAGCCCCUGGCCUCUGUCCUUCCAGCUAACUAUGAGUCCCAGGAGAGCAGGGAGCAGAUACAGCCUCCAUCUGAACCCAGAGACAGGAGAGCUGUUCCUCCCCCUCCUCCCCCCAGUGCAACAGGGACUGUUGGAGCAGACAUCCCACCUGCAACAGAGUAUUAUGAUGCCACUGAGAGGAGACAGUGACAGGCGGGACUGUUGACACGACCGAGACGCAGCACUCUUAGCUGCAGGAGCAGUGGGAAUAUGUAUAGCAGACAUAUCUCUAACUACUCCCACUGAGCAGGACCACUAGGACCCUUGAAGGACUGACAAAAAAAACCCCAUCAUCUAUCUGUAUAUUUUUCACUAUUGGAUUAUCUGAAACAAAUGUAUUUCAGAUGUGCUUUGUCCAGUGAUUGUCCAGGAGAGGUCAGUGUGACAUUCCCUGUCCCUUCCAUCUGUCUAAUUGUGUUGGCAAAAGAUCCAGUGGCAACAAGGAAGGAUCUAGAAAACGUUUUGAGAGAAUUGUGUGUGUGUGUGUGUGUAUGGGUUUGGUGUGCUUGCGUGAUGAAAAGGUAUGGUGCAGGUCAACGUGUCUCAGCAUAUGUGUGUGCAUAACUCUGAAUUUGAGUCCAUUUAUUUAUGCUUUGUCUAUCCUGUGUAUGUGUGUGUGUGACAUUCCUGUUGCCAUGACCUGAAUAACUUGCUUAUGUAAUGUGCUAUGAGAGGUUAGGUGGCACAAUGCAAGAAUGAUGU
Molecule: RNA transcript, 1152 nt
Organism: Alosa alosa (allis shad)
Lineage: Eukaryota; Metazoa; Chordata; Actinopteri; Clupeiformes; Clupeidae
Gene name: proline-rich protein 29-like
Exons: 7
Source: RefSeq, a predicted model, not a curated record